Non-coding RNA from Ignavibacteria bacterium RBG_16_35_7, 72 nucleotides. The record is from Rfam. Lineage: Bacteria; Pseudomonadati; Ignavibacteriota; Ignavibacteria.
GGGCGUGUAGCUCAGUGGUAGAGCAUUUGCCUUUUAAGCAAAGGGUCGGUGGUUCGAUCCCACCCACGCUCA